Long non-coding RNA from Pomacea canaliculata, 579 nucleotides. RefSeq lists it as uncharacterized. The transcript is spliced from 2 exons. The record is from RefSeq and is a predicted model, not a curated record. NCBI's taxonomy places the organism in Eukaryota, Metazoa, Mollusca, Gastropoda, Architaenioglossa, Ampullariidae.
UAAACAAAAUUGGCGAGAAAAUGAAAAAUUUUAAAGGAUUGAAGAAGUGAAGAUCUCAUGGAGGGGACAACACGAUUUCUUCCUUCGUCUAAGAAGGAGUGGUAGAGGGCAAGCCAUACACUCAACCCAAAGUCUGCUUGUCGAGUUCAUCACCACCUAGUUGCCAUCGUUGCUUGCAAGUCUGAACCAGAGGCAAGACCGUGACAGCCUUAUAACGAUAAGGUAAUAAACAUCCAACAACUCAGAAGUCAUAUAGUUCUGUGGUCACGAUGCUCGGGAGGCUCCACACUUCAGGUGUAAAGGCACACCCUCCAACAGGUGAGCAGUUGGGAGUGUAGCAUUGGACAUGAGAUACUGUAACGGUUUCUAAGGAAAAAUCAUGCUAUACUUCCUGGUCGUUGCCGCCAUCAUCGUGGAGGCAAGAGACGUGACGUCGGCGACGACAGACACUAACCUGCUGCCACCUAUUAUAUAGUCUACAGCCAUAAUUAAUCGUCUGUCACAGUGAUUAACUUUUUGGCAAUUCGAUAAAUCCUAUAGGAAUAAAAGGGUUAAAACCUGUCUACAUUUGAUGAAAAA